CCUACGGGGGGCUGCAGUGGGGAAUUUUGGACAAUGGGCGCAAGCCUGAUCCAGCAAUGCCGCGUGAGUGAAGAAGGCCUUCGGGUUGUAAAGCUCUUUCAGUUGAGAAGAAAAAGUCGUGACUAAUAAUCAUGAUUCAUGACGGUAUCAACAGAAGAAGCACCGGCUAACUACGUGCCAGCAGCCGCGGUAAUACGUAGGGUACAAGCGUUAAUUGGAAUUACUGGGCGUAAAUGGUGAAGAGGCAUGUGAAAUCCCCGGGCUUAACCUGGGAACUGCGUUUGAAACUGCAGAGCUAGAGUGCGGCAGAGGGAGGUGGAAUUCCAUGUGUAGCAGUGAAAUGCGUAGAGAUAUGGAAGAACAUCGAUGGCGAAGGCAACCUCCUGGGCUAGCACUGACGCUCAUGCACGAAAGCGUGGGGAGCAAACAGGAUUAGAUACCCGAGUAGUC
This 450-nucleotide ribosomal RNA is filed under the name uncultured bacterium. Its description in RNAcentral is "partial 16S ribosomal RNA". It matches the Rfam family "Bacterial small subunit ribosomal RNA", at positions 338 to 795 of the family's 1533-position model. The record is from RNAcentral.